RNAcentral lists this ribosomal RNA (508 nucleotides) under uncultured bacterium. RNAcentral describes it as "partial 16S ribosomal RNA". It matches the Rfam family "Bacterial small subunit ribosomal RNA", at positions 28 to 507 of the family's 1533-position model. The record is from RNAcentral.
GACGAACGCUGGCGGCGUGCCUAAUACAUGCAAGUCGAACGCUUCUUUCCUCCCGAGUGCUUGCCCUCAAUUGGAAAGAGGAGUGGCGGACGGGUGAGUAACACGUGGGUAACCUACCCAUCAGAGGGGGAUAACACUUGGAAACAGGUGCUAAUACCGCAUAACAGUUUAUGCCGCAUGGCAUAAGAGUGAAAGGCGCUUUCGGGUGUCGUUGAUGGAUGGACCCGCGGUGCAUUAGCUAGUUGGUGAGGUAACGGCUCACCAAGGCGACGAUGCGUAGCCGACCUGAGAGGGUGAUCGGCCACACUGGGACUGAGACACGGCCCAGACUCCUACGGGAGGCAGCAGUAGGGAAUCUUCGGCAAUGGACGAAAGUCUGACCGAGCAACGCCGCGUGAGUGAAGAAGGUGUUCGGAUCGUAAAACUCUGUUGUUAGAGAAGAACAAGGACGUUAGUAACUGAACGUCCCCUGACGGUACCUAACCAGAAAGCCACGGCUAACUACGUG